RNAcentral lists this ribosomal RNA (636 nucleotides) under Triticum aestivum (bread wheat). RNAcentral describes it as "partial small subunit ribosomal RNA". The record is from RNAcentral. Lineage: Eukaryota; Viridiplantae; Streptophyta; Magnoliopsida; Poales; Poaceae.
UACGACGCGCCGAGGGAGACCGCCGAGGACCGGCACCGGCACCGGCACGGCCGCCGCUGCGCCCGCCACCGGCGGGACUUCCGGCCAGCCUCGGACGUGGCCCUGAAGCUGCUGCCGGCCCACCACCUCGACCGCGACCUGGCCCUCUGCCCCAGGUCCGACCUCAGGUUCCUGGCCAUGGAGAAGCCCGCCAAGCUAGAGCUGUAGUCCGAGCAGCGGCUGCUCAGGCGGCCCUGGUAGUGAAGGAAGAUACUCCCUUCGUCGCCUACGCUCGGUCCUCCGCCUAGCCGAGCUGGGUCGGUACCUCGACGGCGACGCCUGAGGGACGGCCGGAGGAAGCAGAAGUACACCUAAACGUACCGUUCACUACAACGCAACGGUUACUGUGUAGAUCUUAACGACAAGCACUGAGGACAUCUACAAGGACUUAAAAAGAAACAUCACCAACCCACGACGGUAUUUUGGACAUUGUCGUCGUUCUACGUCAAGAGCCGUUUAGCGAAAAUCUAGACUCUUUCUUCUACUUGUCCUCUUAGGUUAUCUUCUUAAACCACUUCUUGUUCCCAACGCCUACCUCCUCAUGCAAUAAAGCUGCCAGGAGAUAAAAUGACAACGCACACGGAAGUCCAGGUAGUC